CCUGACUGCUAUCGGAUUGAUACUAAGCCAUGCGAGUCUUUGUAGUAAUACAAGGCAGACGGCUCAGUAACACGUAGUCAACCUACCCUAUGGACAAGAAUAAUCUCGGGAAACUGGGCAUAAUUCUUGAUAGAUCAUAAUGCCUGGAAUGGUUUAUGGUUAAAAUGAUUCGUCGCCAUAGGAUGGGACUGCGGCCUAUCAGCUUGUUGGUGAGGUAAUGGCCCACCAAGGCGAUUACAGGUACGGGCUCUGAGAGGAGAAGCCCGGAGAUGGGUACUGAGACACGGACCCAGGCCCUAUGGGGCGCAGCAGGCGAGAAAACUUUGCAAUGUGCGAAAGCACGACAAGGUUAAUCCGAGUGAUUUCUGCUAAAGAAAUCUUUUGCCAGUCAUAAAACCACUGGUGAAUAAGGGGUGGGCAAGUUCUGGUGUCAGCCGCCGCGGUAAAACCAGCACCUCAAGUGGUCAGGAUGAUUAUUGGGCCUAAAGCAUCCGUAGCCGGCUUUGUUAGUUUUCGGUUAAAUCCAUGUGCUCAACGCAUGGGCUGCCGAAAAUACUGCAUGGCUAGGGAGUGGGAGAGGUAGACGGUACUCAGUAGGAAGGGGUAAAAUCCUUUGAUCUAUUGAUGACCACCUGUGGCGAAGGCGGUCUACCAGAACACGUUCGACGGUGAGGGAUGAAAGCUGGGGGAGCAAACCGGAUUAGAUACCCGGGUAGUCCCAGCUGUAAACGAUGCAGACUCGAUGAUGCAUUGGCAUAAUAGCCAGUGCAGUGUCGCAGGGAAGCCGUUAAGUCUGCCGCCUGGGAAGUACGUACGCAAGUAUGAAACUUAAAGGAAUUGGCGGGGGAGCACCACAAGGGGUGAAGCCUGCGGUUC
Molecule: ribosomal RNA, 876 nt
Filed under: uncultured archaeon
Lineage: Archaea
Description: bacterial SSU rRNA
Rfam family: Archaeal small subunit ribosomal RNA
Source: RNAcentral